ACUCUAACCCAGCGGCAAUCUUUUGCCCGUGUCCGAAGCCACUAAUGGGGACGGGAGU
This 58-nucleotide non-coding RNA is filed under the name unclassified sequences. The record is from RNAcentral.